This 122-nucleotide ribosomal RNA is filed under the name Chinchilla lanigera (long-tailed chinchilla). The record is from RNAcentral. Lineage: Eukaryota; Metazoa; Chordata; Mammalia; Rodentia; Chinchillidae.
GUCUACGGCCAUACCACCCUGAACGCGCCCGAUCUCCUCUGAUCUAGGAAGCUAAGCAGGGCAGGGCCUGGUUAGUACUUGGAUGGGAGAAAGACACUCCCCUCUCACGCUAGACGCAGACA